AUUCUACUCCCUCCAUUGCACAAUACAUGCCUUCUAUUUGUCAAAAUAUAUAUGUAUCUAGACAUGUCUUAGUAUAUAGGUACAUCCAUUUUUGGACAAAUGGAAGUCAAGUAUUUUGGAAUGGAGGGAGUACACA
Triticum aestivum (bread wheat) is the source of this 136-nucleotide non-coding RNA. The record is from Rfam. NCBI's taxonomy places the organism in Eukaryota, Viridiplantae, Streptophyta, Magnoliopsida, Poales, Poaceae.